GAAUUCAACUCCUACGGGAGGCAGCAGUGGGGAAUUUUGGACAAUGGGCGCAAGCCUGAUCCAGCCAUGCCGCGUGCGGGAAGAAGGCCUUCGGGUUGUAAACCGCUUUUGUCAGGGAAGAAAUCCUUUGGGUUAAUACCUCGGGGGGAUGACGGUACCUGAAGAAUAAGCACCGGCUAACUACGUGCCAGCAGCCGCGGUAAUACGUAGGGUGCAAGCGUUAAUCGGAAUCACUGGGCGUAAAGCGUGCGCAGGCGGUCUUGCAAGACAGAUGUGAAAUCCCCGGGCUCAACCUGGGAACUGCAUUUGUGACUGCAAGGCUGGAGUGCGGCAGAGGGGGAUGGAAUUCCGCGUGUAGCAGUGAAAUGCGUAGAUAUGCGGAGGAACACCGAUGGCGAAGGCAAUCCCCUGGGCCUGCACUGACGCUCAUGCACGAAAGCGUGGGGAGCAAACAGGAUUAGAUACCCGUGUAGUCCAGGCGUU
RNAcentral lists this ribosomal RNA (483 nucleotides) under uncultured bacterium. Its description in RNAcentral is "bacterial SSU rRNA". It matches the Rfam family "Bacterial small subunit ribosomal RNA", at positions 328 to 803 of the family's 1533-position model. The record is from RNAcentral.